RNAcentral lists this ribosomal RNA (366 nucleotides) under uncultured fungus. RNAcentral's name for it is "bacterial SSU rRNA". It matches the Rfam family "Eukaryotic small subunit ribosomal RNA", at positions 32 to 371 of the family's 1831-position model. The record is from RNAcentral. Lineage: Eukaryota; Fungi.
UUGUCUCAAAGACUAAGCCAUGCAUGUCUAAGUAUAAACACCUUUAUACUGCGAAACUGCGAACGGCUCAUUAUAUCAGUUAUAAUCUACUUGAUCGUAUCCUCUUACUUGGAUAACCGUAGUAAUUCUAGAGCUAAUACAUGCAAAAAUUCCCGACUGGUGACGGAAGGGAAGUAUUUAUUAGGUCCAAAAUCAAUGCUGGCCAUUCCAAACUGGGGCAACCUGGGGUCAGGAAAAGUUGAUGAUUCAUAAUAACUAAACGAAGCGCAGGGCUUGUCUCGGCGCUGAUACAAACGAGUUUCUGCCCUAUCAACUUUCGAUGGUAGUAUAGGGGACUACCAUGGUCGUAACGGGUAACGGGGAAUA